This 330-nucleotide unclassified non-coding RNA is filed under the name Aubrieta canescens. Its description in RNAcentral is "sequence contains ITS1, 5.8S rRNA gene and ITS2". Lineage: Eukaryota; Viridiplantae; Streptophyta; Magnoliopsida; Brassicales; Brassicaceae. The record is from RNAcentral.
UUUGAUACCACCGCNCGUUAAGACGGUUUCUGAAUUGAUCCCGAGGAUUUCGAUUCNGUGGUGCGGKNAUUUUCCCUNAUGGGCUUCCGUCCCUUCUYCCAGAAGGCUGGGGACCACGUUUUGUGACAYGUCAAGGAACUGCCCUCGGCCAGCCUGCCUUCGSCCCCUGKGCACGGGUUGAGUCGAGGGGCUACGGUGUUCUKCAAUUUAUACCAAGUCUCGCAUUUCGCUACCUUCUUCCUCGAUGCGAGAACCAAAAUAUCCGUAGCCGAGAGUCGUUGUGAACUUAAUAGUACCGCGAACCCUCCACUCUUUCCCCGCCCAUGGGGC